This 74-nucleotide transfer RNA is filed under the name Chryseobacterium sp. 2987. RNAcentral describes it as "tRNA-Ile". It matches the Rfam family "tRNA". Rfam says of the family: Transfer RNA (tRNA) molecules are approximately 80 nucleotides in length. Their secondary structure includes four short double-helical elements and three loops (D, anti-codon, and T loops). Further hydrogen bonds mediate the characteristic L-shaped molecular structure. tRNAs have two regions of fundamental functional importance: the anti-codon, which is responsible for specific mRNA codon recognition, and the 3' end, to which the tRNAs corresponding amino acid is attached (by aminoacyl-tRNA synthetases). tRNAs cope with the degeneracy of the genetic code in two manners: having more than one tRNA (with a specific anti-codon) for a particular amino acid; and 'wobble' base-pairing, i.e. permitting non-standard base-pairing at the 3rd anti-codon position. Lineage: Bacteria; Pseudomonadati; Bacteroidota; Flavobacteriia; Flavobacteriales; Weeksellaceae. The record is from RNAcentral.
GAUCCUAUAGCUCAAUUGGUUAGAGCGUCGGCCUGAUACGUCGAAGGUUGAAGGUUCAAGUCCUUCUGGGAUUA